AUCUUUCUUUGACGAUGUUGUCGGCGAGGAAACCCGCUGAACUUAAGCAUAUC
Molecule: ribosomal RNA, 53 nt
Filed under: Caulerpa macrodisca
Lineage: Eukaryota; Viridiplantae; Chlorophyta; Ulvophyceae; Bryopsidales; Caulerpaceae
Description: partial 26S ribosomal RNA
Source: RNAcentral